This 507-nucleotide long non-coding RNA is filed under the name Mytilus galloprovincialis (Mediterranean mussel). The record is from RNAcentral. Lineage: Eukaryota; Metazoa; Mollusca; Bivalvia; Mytilida; Mytilidae.
AUUUAUAUAGAUAUAAUUAUAAAUUCUAAGAGCCUGUAUGCUAAAAGUGGUAUAUAGGAAUUAUAUUAAAGAGAUGAGUAGAUGAUAAUUCUUGUACAUUUAAACAUUUCGUGUAUUGUGAUCACGAGUUCUUGUUUAAUAACUAUGAGAAGGUACCACGUCUCGAAAGUAGAUCUAAUUCACGAAAGCGAGGGGAUAAUGCAGCUGCAAAUUGAUUAUAAAACUUCGUGUUCAUGGUAUUUGCAAAUAAUAGUAAAUCAUUGAUUGCAAGACAAAUGUAUUUUUUCACUAACAUGUCGGUUAUUAAAUUAGAUUUGAGAUAACGGAUUGAUAUAAUAUUGAAGUUGUAAAAGAAUCAUAAAAUCAGUCUACCCUAGCCUUAUGUCAAGUAAACUUUACAGACAGUAAUUGCUUUGUAUUUCAAAUCUGUUCAUGUCACAUUACCGGUCAGAUAAACUAAAAAGGCUGGUUUCCUACCUUGCAACAUACAGGCGAAUUGUGUAAAAA